This 472-nucleotide ribosomal RNA is filed under the name uncultured bacterium. RNAcentral's name for it is "bacterial SSU rRNA". It matches the Rfam family "Bacterial small subunit ribosomal RNA", at positions 355 to 825 of the family's 1533-position model. The record is from RNAcentral.
UGGGGAAUCUUGGACAAUGGGGGAAACCCUGAUCCAGCGAUGCCGCGUGUGUGAAGAAGGCCUUAGGGUUGUAAAGCACUUUAAUGAGGGAGGAUUAGGAUGCGUUGAAUAGACGUGUCUGAGGACGUUACCUCAAGAAUAAGCACCGGCUAACUCUGUGCCAGCAGCCGCGGUAAUACAGAGGGUGCGAGCGUUAAUCGGAAUUAUUGGGCGUAAAGGGAGCGUAGGUGGUUAGUUAAGUUGGAUGUGAAAUCCCCGGGCUCAACCUGGGAACUGCAUUCAAAACUGACUGACUAGAGUAUGGUAGAGGGUGGUGGAAUUUCCUGUGUAGCGGUGAAAUGCGUAGAUAUAGGAAGGAACACCAGUGGCGAAGGCGACCACCUGGACUGAUACUGACACUGAGGUGCGAAAGCGUGGGGAGCAAACAGGAUUAGAUACCCGAGUAGUCCCUGAGCGGGCUGGCAAGGCGCAU